AUCAAAGGUACUGUGUGGAAGUGGGAUUCGAACCAAGGGUUUUUGGGUUGCAAGGCAACAGCCCUUGACCACUGUAUCACCUGCUGGCCCAAUGCUCUUAUUAUAAACCUAAUAUUAUUGACAGUGCUGCUUGAAAGUAUGCGAAGGCCUGGUGUCCCUUAGUUUUACCACGAAAUGGUUGUUUAAUGAGAUGAGUGCUUCUCGUAUGACAUAAUCGGUGUGUGUUUUAUGUGUUUCUUUUGAGGAAAUCGUGCGUGUAGUAGAAACACAGAAAUAGCGCAGGUGCAAAAAUAAGCUGAACUGGUUUAACCAAGUAGAGAAGUGUGUGAAAAUCAUUAUCAUUUAUUAAUUUUUUAAGCUUAUUUUAAUCUUUAAUAUAAGAAUAAUGGCCACCCCUAUCGGGUCCACAUACUUUGAAGCAGCACCGUAUCAAUCCCGGAUAGGUAUCUAGCUCAAGGGCGCAACAGUAGAGCUGGGAUUCGAACCCAGGACAUUCAAAUUGCACAAUGACAGCUCGAACGGCUACAGUUGACAGGGGGAUGCUGGUACCUCGUGGAAAUGCAGUAAUGAUGCGCGUCCCAAAAUUCCCUCAACUACAGCUGCAAGUCAGAUGUAAGUCCCCGAGUGGAUCCCCGACACGGCGCUUCAUCAUUAGAUCUUUUAAAAAGGAAGCAUCGAGAGGCAGAGACAUGGGAAUUAUUCAUUUUCAACCCCUCGCGAGAGCUAUUGACAAGCCAUGUAAUUAAAAUGUUUGCGUUUACAGUAAGCAAAGUGCUCUCGGCGCUCCUAGGAUCUUAGCGUGGUUGUCGAAAUGAAAAUAAAUUUCUUGUUACCAUCAUCGUGCUUCGACGCAAGAAAACCCGAAGCCCAAAUACCGCUCCCAUUUUUUCGUCUAGACGGAACUGCCAAGGGUGAAGCAGGCAAGCAUGAAAAAGUCAAAUCAAUAUUUUAACUUAAAUUUUAAUAAUCCCAUGAAGCAACAAAUUUAACCAUCAAUGGAUUGAGCUCGGGUGACAGUUAGCCUUGUUUCUAUGACAACCCAGCAUAACGUGCACAUGUCUAGACUUGCCGGAUGGCUUUGAUAUGAACAGGAUGACAUUUAGGCCCUCCCUGUUAGGAGAAACCAUUUCUUCGUUCUAAUAUAAUUUUUUUUUUCUUUCCCCCUAAAUCAAAGAGCAAUGCCACGGACAUGUACAAGGGUGCCACGCUUUAGUGUGCCGGAAAAUUAUAAACGAAUUCAGUGCGAAUUUUUUCGGUAAUUGGAGAACAAAGCAUGUCUCGUAAUUACCAGCAUCCAGUGCACCAAAAAAUUACACCCGCUGUGUUUUAUUUUCCGCAGGAAAUAAUUGCUGAAAUAACAAAAGCGAGCCCCAUGUAAAGACUGUGCAUUAUUGUGUUUGUACGUAGUGCUGAAAUUAGAAAUAUGUCGCUAUUACAUUACAUCUGCCGGCCCUUAUUUUCCAUUGGUUAGUUAUUACGAUGAAACCAAUAACAGACAGAACAUGCUGGGAAAUCUCGUUAUUACAUUUUAUAAUCUGCAAUUUCAUUUCAUAUGAAAACAGGUUUCACUGUACCUUUUAUGGAGAACAAAGUAACCUCUUAAGGGUGUAUAUUUUAUAUAUCUAUUUCUACCAAACUAAAUGUGGGAGAAAAGCAUUGCGAUAUAGAGUGAGUAUGGAAUAUUAAAUUUCAAUGUAUCGAUAUGUCCUGAUGCGACUGAUAUUUGUGUGAUGGGUAUUAAUUUCAGUUUCGCUUUGAGCGCCAGCUGUUCUCCUGUAGGAAACAUCUGCCACCUCUUGGGAGGUCCCGAUGUCAUUUCGGACGUGACAGAGAGUGUCAGGGUGACACGGCUCCCAGCGAGAGAAGGGUGCGUCACGGGGCGCCGCUGUGAAUUUAUAGGAGCGGGGCAUGGGCGCGAGCUACGGUGUGGGAGGUCAACGGAGGCCUUCGCGUGUCAAGAAGCAUUGUCGAACUGCGCGCGUCGCCGUCGCCGAACAGCGGCCCGGCACACGUGCUACAGACGAGCGCAAGACGCAGCCCUUUUUCUUCAAUUGCUUUCUUCUGCGGAUUGGAGUCGGGUUGAGGAAACCGCUGAGACGAAGUUCUCCGAGCGCUCGGAUCGUCUCGGAUGGGAAGAGUUCGUGGAACCACGGGUGCUGCAGAUGUCCACUCGGAUAUUUGAGGCCACAGCUCAGUACCGUGUUUUCCCACUCCUAAUACACCGCUGGAUCCCCUCCAGGUGGAAACAGCCUCCGAUGCCGUCGUUCCCGGGAGGUGACCUUUAAGGCGCCCACGCCCGGCUCCUCCCCUAACCAGGGGUCAGAUUGUCUCGCCUUUGAUGCUCCUGAAGGUCAGAGAGAGGGGAAAGGGGGGUAAAAAAACCACCCCUCAAUUCUGCCACCAAUCGAUGCCUUUUUAUAUUCCUCUGAAACAGACCGGCUGGAUGUUUAGGUCUCCACAGCUUCAAAGCGAAACCAAACAGCUUCCAGCAUGGAGAGGUUUCUUGACCACUGAGUCUAGUAAUAGCAAAAAGGUAUUUAAUAACACCGGCUAUUUUAAAGUAAAUUAAAAUGCUUUCAACUGGUCCUACGGGUGAGAUGGCACCAGACUUACUGGUGUCAUUAUGGCACAAAUUUUAGCUUCUUUACAAUAAUUCAUACACCUGUAAGGGUUAUAGUUCCGGCAAUUAUGCAAGCAACUUAUGAUUUAAAAUGCUUACCUUUAAUUUAUAUGAAUUAAACCCUUACUGCUUCGGGCCUUAAGUAAAUAAGCACCAAUAGGCAUUUUAAUAUCCAGUUACAGCAUUGCCUUUCUUUCACAUUAUAUUCUCAUUUUCCUGAAUAUAAUGCAUCGUAGUGCAUAACAUAUAUAGCAGGAGCACAGUUACAGUGCUGAUGAUCAUAAGCUUGGAUAUACAGGAUACUGUGGGCGGCACAUUCCAGAUUUAGAAGGCUUACAAAGGCAGAGAAGGAUGGGAUGGAGAUGUCCAGCAAGAUGAGGGUGAUCCCAGCAGGCAAAAGAAAGUGUGGGAAGAAACUCGAGACUGAAAAUUCGUUCAGCAGACGUUUUGGAGAAAAGCUGAGGCUCUCGGAAUUCAGAAGUCCAGGUUUUGGAAGCGAACUCAAGCAGUGUUUGAAGUCCAGAUUGACAUCAACCGAGGAUGUCUGACUGUGUAAAAAUGACUGCUGUCAGUGUCGCAGAUGGAACUGGUGGGAAAUGACACUGGUUGUAAAGAGAGCCUUGGAAAGCACCAAGGACUGAUCACAAGGGCCUGAUCAGAUGGACAUGGACAUAACAUUUACCUGGCUGGCAAAAUUCCAUGACUGACAUAAUAAUUCCAUAUGUAAACUGCUUUUGACUUUCUUUUCUUUUGAAUUUUAUCAUUACAUAAUGUUAUAUCUAUUGUAUAAUAUAUAUCUUAGUCGUGAUGAAAUUUGUUUACCAUUCGGUUUGCAGGUUUCAGAUGAUCAUUAAAUCAGGCUGAAUGAAUUGUUGGUUGUGGUAAAGUAACCCCUCUUACAGUGCUGCCCUCUGUAUUUCUGUUACUCCAUCCUAUAUGAAAAGAGAAACAGUCUUUUAUUAUUGGAAAAAAGCAGUUUUUCUGCUUUAGUGGGAAGUAGUAAUUCAGCCAUUUACAUUUACAGCAUAUCCCAUUGUUAUCCUUCCCCCUUCUGUAAUUGUGCUUAAAUUCUGCAGAACAAAGUUUUUAUGGGCACUGAGGGGAAAAGUCUCACACCAUGAAAAGAAUAUUAAAAAAAUAAAAAGGCUUAACCUAAAACCUAGUGUAUUUUAAUUUGAUUUUUCCCCCCCUAUUUUCUCCAUCAACGUGAUUAUGACCCAAGCUGUUACGUGCAUCCCCGCGGAAUGAGCCGGAAUCCUUGCGCGAGAACCAGGAUGACUGUGAUUAGGCCUCGGCCCGUUUCUUUCACUAAGACCCCCCUCCCCUCCCAUCCCCAUCCCAGGCCUCACCCUGUCAUACUCGGCUGGGA
Long non-coding RNA from Scleropages formosus (Asian bonytongue), 3989 nucleotides. RefSeq lists it as uncharacterized. Lineage: Eukaryota; Metazoa; Chordata; Actinopteri; Osteoglossiformes; Osteoglossidae. The record is from RefSeq and is a predicted model, not a curated record. The transcript is spliced from 3 exons.